RNAcentral lists this ribosomal RNA (799 nucleotides) under uncultured crenarchaeote. Its description in RNAcentral is "bacterial SSU rRNA". It matches the Rfam family "Archaeal small subunit ribosomal RNA", at positions 52 to 859 of the family's 1478-position model. Lineage: Archaea; Thermoproteati; Thermoproteota. The record is from RNAcentral.
UGCGAGUCACGUAGCAAUACGUGGCAUACGGCUCAGUAACACGUAGUCAACAUGCCCAGGGGACGUGGAUAACCUCGGGAAACUGAGGAUAAACCGCGAUAGGCCAUGAUGUCUGGAAUGACUUAUGGCUCAAAUCUACAUGGCCCCUGGAUUGGACUGCGGCCGAUCAGGCUGUUGGUGAGGUAAUGGCCCACCAAACCUAAAACCGGUACGGGCUCUGAGAGGAGAAGCCCGGAGAUGGGCACUGAGACAAGGGCCCAGGCCCUAUGGGGCGCAGCAGGCGCGAAAACUCUGCAAUAAGCGAAAGCUUGACAGGGUUAUUCUGAGUGAUUUCCGCUAAGGAAAUCUUUUGGCACCUCUAAAAAUGGUGCAGAAUAAGGGGUGGGCAAGCCUGGUGUCAGCCGCCGCGGUAAUACCAGCACCCCGAGUGGUCGGGACGAUUAUUGGGCCUAAAGCAUCCGUAGCCGGUUCUACAAGUCUUCCGUUAAAUCCAUCUGCUUAACAGAUGGGCUGCGGAGGAUACUAUGGAGCUAGGAGGCGGGAGAGGCAAGCGGUACUUAGUGGGUAGGGGUAAAAUCCGUUGAUCCACUGAAGACCACCAGUGGCGAAGGCGGCUUGCCAGAACGCGCUCGACGGUGAGGGAUGAAAGCUGGGGGGAGCAAACCGGAUUAGAUACCCGGGUAGUCCCAGCUGUAAACGAUGCAGACUCGGUGAUGAAUAGGCUUCGUGCCUUUUCAGUGCCGCAGGGAAGCCGUUAAGUCUGCCGCCUGGGGAGUACGGUCGCAAGACUGAAACUUAA